Lycium barbarum (goji berry) is the source of this 797-nucleotide long non-coding RNA. RefSeq lists it as uncharacterized. NCBI's taxonomy places the organism in Eukaryota, Viridiplantae, Streptophyta, Magnoliopsida, Solanales, Solanaceae. The record is from RefSeq and is a predicted model, not a curated record. The transcript has 3 exons.
AAGCGCUAGAUAUAUUCGGUUUUGGCUCCUAAUCUGAAAACUCCCUCAUUCUUCUUCUCCCAAUAUGGAAUAGUACUUUUUUGGAGCCCUAAUCUCCAAAACAGUUUGCCUCUUUCUCCGGCCAAAUCGAGUUCAAUCUCGCCAAGGGUUUCGAAUUCUUAAUCAUUAAAAGCGGCCGCCCGUACCAUCCUUUAGGUCUCUCUCUCGUUUGAUCUCUCUAUUAUAUACAUUUCCAAUUUCAGUUAGGGCUUUGGCGUUAUAUGCAACAUUAUGGUUUUGGUCACAGCAGCUGUCUGCAGCGGUUGGUCAGCUACUGAUGCCUUUUACUUCAGCUCUAUUUUAUGGGAACGAGUACAAUUUCAAGACCGCCUUACGAGCUGGGGGUUUCCUGUCCACACACUCAUUUUGGUUUAAGCUGGCCUUGUCAUGAAUGAUGCAAAAGUAUAUAUGUGUCCGAACUUGAGUGUCCCUCCUUUUCAUUCAAUAGAUCAAGGACUUGAAGUUCGAAGAACCUGUUCAGGAAGAAAGUACAGAGCAAGUAUAAAAAACGAUGAUGGCAAAGAACAAGAUGAUGUACAAGAGACUUUUUCUUUACUAUUGUUAGGAGUGCUUUGGAGAUGAUCCCAUUUGUACAUGCUACUAUUUUUCUUUUUCUUUUUUUUAGGAGUUGACAGAUACAAUAUCAUACAAUUUGGAUAGAUAUAUUUUACGUAAUUUGAUCCUUUAGCUUUUUGUAAUUAGUUGUGCAACUUUAUACAUUGAUUAUUUUGUAUGUUUUGAUUACUAUUUAGUUUUUA